UGGGGAAUAUUGCACAAUGGAGGGAACUCUGAUGCAGCGACGCCGCGUGAACGAAGAAGGCUUUCGAGUCGUAAAGUUCUUUUAUAUGGGAAGAUAAUGACGGUACCAUAAGAAAAAGCCCCGGCUAACUACGUUCCAGCAGCCGCGGUAAUACGUAGGGGGCUAGAGUUGUCCGGAAUCACUGGGCGUAAAGGGUUCGCAGGCGGAAAUGCAAGUCAGGUGUAAAAGGCAGUAGCUUAACUACUGUAAGCAUUUGAAACUGCAUAACUUGAGAAGAGUAGAGGUAAGUGGAAUUUUUAGUGUAGCGGUGAAAUGCGUAGAUAUUAAAAAGAAUACCGGUGGCGAAGGCGACUUACUGGGCUCAUUCUGACGCUGAGGAACGAAAGCGUGGGUAGCAAACAGG
This 403-nucleotide ribosomal RNA is filed under the name bacterium. Its description in RNAcentral is "partial 16S ribosomal RNA". It matches the Rfam family "Bacterial small subunit ribosomal RNA", at positions 355 to 776 of the family's 1533-position model. The record is from RNAcentral.